GAGCAUGUCUAAAGCAUAAUCUGAUGUC
Molecule: small RNA, 28 nt
Filed under: Bombyx mori (domestic silkworm)
Lineage: Eukaryota; Metazoa; Arthropoda; Insecta; Lepidoptera; Bombycidae
Description: ovarian small RNA-15783
Source: RNAcentral